Thalassophryne amazonica is the source of this 147-nucleotide long non-coding RNA. RefSeq lists it as uncharacterized. The record is from RefSeq and is a predicted model, not a curated record. NCBI's taxonomy places the organism in Eukaryota, Metazoa, Chordata, Actinopteri, Batrachoidiformes, Batrachoididae. The transcript is spliced from 3 exons.
CUGCAUUUAACCCGUCCUAAUUAUAGUUAGACACAAUCCAACUACUAGGAGCAGUGGGCAGCCACACUCCGGCGCCCGAGGACCAACUCCAGGUAUAGAGAUGCUGCCUUGGUCAGGGGCAGAGAAAGGAGCAUACCCUGAAAAAGA